CUCCCUGGACUCCGCCAGCCAGGCACCCCUAAAAAUAAUUGAAGACAAGAAAAAUCAAAGGUUGCCCAAGAAAGGAAAUGUAACCACAGUAUGCUGCUUGGUUGUGGAGGGGGGAGUCAGCUUCCGUGUCAUAAGGACAAACAGUCCCUUGGAGUGGCCCAUAUGGAAAGAAACCAAUUUUUCAGCACCAGUUUGCCGGCCAUGUGCGUGAGCCACCUUGGAAGUGGAUUCUCCAGCCCCAGCUCUUCUUUCCAGCUUAUCUCUUAACUCAGGCAAAAGACCUGAGGGACAUAACAUCCCAGAUGGAAACAGAAAUACCUCUCAAGCAAUAGCAACUGCCUAGAUCACCCAGACCAGUUUGAACUUAACCCCCCACUCAUGCCUGUGCAGAUGGACCAUGGAGAGACCCGUGGAGUGACUGACAGUUACAAUUACCUCAUUAUAAUAGUAAAAUCUCUGCCCAAGGAGGAGCAUACGCCUCAUAUACAUAACAUACAAUGUAUGUAUAGGCAUGUUUCCUUAAGGUGCCUGCGCCUCCUUUUGCCCCCCUCUACAUAGGAUGACAAGGCUUCCCUAUCUAAAUAUUCAUCCUAACCCUAAGUAAAAGGAACCUAUUCACCCUCGCUCAGGAAGUCAUGGCUUCAGAAGUUAUUCCUCAGCAAUCUCCUUGUUUGCUGCAAAUAAAGUUUACUUUGUGUGACAGCUCCA
Molecule: long non-coding RNA, 708 nt
Organism: Leopardus geoffroyi (Geoffroy's cat)
Lineage: Eukaryota; Metazoa; Chordata; Mammalia; Carnivora; Felidae
Exons: 3
Source: RefSeq, a predicted model, not a curated record